This is a long non-coding RNA of Sardina pilchardus (European sardine), 1251 nucleotides long. RefSeq lists it as uncharacterized. The record is from RefSeq and is a predicted model, not a curated record. NCBI's taxonomy places the organism in Eukaryota, Metazoa, Chordata, Actinopteri, Clupeiformes, Clupeidae. The transcript is spliced from 7 exons.
GCGGAAACAUUUGACGAUUCCAAGGAAGUUGUCUGGAGUUGCCAACCGGUCCAUUGGACGUAUGCAUUUUGGAAAGCUCCACCCUGUACGCUCAACAUGUGGGAAUGAGGUGAACGAUGAUGAACGACAACUGUGCAUGGCUGAUCCAAAAAAGUUUUCAGACAUCACCAAACACAGGACUGAGAAUCCUGGAUGUUGUUUUUGAGAGGAGGGAUUCCGGAACUGUUUUCCAAGGAUCCAAUCAAGUAUUGUGCUCCAGCUGGAAGAUAUCCGCGGGAGGAGUGAUGCCGUUCUUCUUGGCAGCAGCUCGGAUAACGGCCUCAGCCUCCUGAAACCGACCCUGAGUGAUCAGCCAGCGAGGAGACUCUGGUAUGAACCUGAGAGAGGAAUGUAAAGAAAUCCCACCAUAGACAACACUAACAGCAGUGUCCUCCAGCUCCGGAUAAAGUAGGCGAAGAGUGGCAGAAUGGCAUAGCCAGCGGCAAAACAGGAACAGACUCCCAGAAUCCCAAAGCUCACGCGGGCUGACUUACUGAGGAGCUCUGCCCCUAACGAUGUCUUUGUAAACGUCAUGCACAGGCAUUCUCAGCGGAACCUGAUAUGAAAAGAACAAUGAUCAUUCAACUCACCAAGAACAAAGGCUGCACAGUAAUUGGAGACGUAUGCCAUCCCAGCCACAAAGUAAAGAACACAGAACAUUUCGUAGCUGUUGGAGGCAGACUGGAGCAAACUAAAGAGAGUCUGCAAUACCAUAGUGACAAGGAAGGUGUGCUUCCGACCAUACCUGAGGAGGAAGUAUAAUCUUAAGGACAAAGACACUAUAGGCUCUACAAACCUUGAUGCUAUAAGAGCUUUUGCCAAGACCUACAUUUAUUGGACAGACCAUAGAUUCAUGCAAAUUAAGGUUAAACACUAACUAGUACUGUAUUUAUGCUAUUCAUUAUUGUAGUAUAAUUCAUGACCAUGUACUGUAAAUUUACAUUUUAUCAUACUUUAUACCUGUCUGAAAUGAUCCCGGAACAAAAGGAUCCUGCCAGCACUCCGAAGAAGAACACGGUUAAGGUGAAAGGAGCUUUCCAGGCAUCAUCACACACCAGAUUCCACUAUGGAAAAUUGGAAAAGAUGAUUUUUCAAAGACAAACAUAGUUUGUCAGACACUGUACAAGACAAGUAUAGAACAAAACCCCUUAUCCUGGAUUAAAUUGUCAAAUAGGACAUCCAUCUCUUAUUUCUUCGUAUUUCCAUCUUGUU